CAAGCGGGUUCCGUACGUUCGCAAUGCUGCGUUCGAUGCAUCCUCCGUUUAGAAAACCCAACCCGAGUGAGAACACGAGGACCGCUUAUUGAGAAAAGGCUGAAGGAUGUUGACACGUCACGAGUAGGCGGAUCAAAACGUACAUCAGGCAAAUCAAGGCAUGGCAAGUAGAGAACAGCAAUCAGAUCACAUAUUCAUAUGACUGACAAACAAAUCCACAAAUAAUUGACAACCGCAAGCUAUGAAGGGAAUGUGCGAGAAGAGAAGAAAGGGUCAACACAUCAUCAUGGGCCGUUGUUAUGGCAAAUGGAAAUUCGAGAUCCAAAAGUAUCAAUUUGGAAUCUGAACACAACAGGUAAGCCUGGAAGGCCACCACUUUAUUUCCCAUCUGCACUACAUGUCUGAUCUUAUUAGUUCACACUAAUGCACCCUAAAACACUUAUAGCCCAUCACCAUAUGUGUGUGUGUCUGUGUGUCACGGUAGUCUAUCACGCAUCCCCACAGCUCAAUAAACUCCAGAAUACAGCUUUAAAUUCAUCACUAAUGAUUUAACAUUCAGGUUAGUCGAUAAUGAUUGAAUGUCAAGUCUAGUGAGUGCCAUCUGUGAGCAGAAGCGUGUUUUAUCCACCUGUCAAAUGAGCUGAAACACGCCAAUAUCUCCAUUACACCAGGGGGCAACUGAAUUAUCAAGCCGACUGUAGACACCAGAACACUGAGCUUAUUGAAUCAUCAGAUGGAAGCCACAAUCACAGAUGUCAUCCAACAAGAGCAAUAUAUAGGAUCUAACUUGCUGGAGAACUACUAGUGAUUGUGCCCUAACUCUACAUUUAUAAACCAGUAGGCGCCAUAAAGGUGUGAAGAAUAGACAUACCGUACAGUAUGUGGUACUGUAUCAUGUCAAUCAUUCAACAGAUGACUCUGAGGGAAUAUGUGGAACCGAAUGUAGGACCUUAAAACAACAUAAUGAACCAACUGUUCUGUUUCAGCUUCAAGUUAUUUGUGUCAGAUUAAACAUAUUAUAUGCAAGUUGAA
Triplophysa dalaica is the source of this 1032-nucleotide long non-coding RNA. RefSeq lists it as uncharacterized. Lineage: Eukaryota; Metazoa; Chordata; Actinopteri; Cypriniformes; Nemacheilidae. The transcript has 3 exons. The record is from RefSeq and is a predicted model, not a curated record.